Molecule: ribosomal RNA, 461 nt
Filed under: uncultured bacterium
Lineage: Bacteria
Description: partial 16S ribosomal RNA
Rfam family: Bacterial small subunit ribosomal RNA
Source: RNAcentral
GUGCACGCUGGCGGCGUGCCUAAUACAUGCAAGUCGCACGGAGGUUAAGUAGCUUGCUAUUUAAUCUUAGUGGCGCACGGGUGAGUAAUAUAUAGCUAACUUGCCCAUUACUAAGGGACAACAGUUGGAAACGACUGCUAAUACCUUAUACUCCGUAUCUAUAUAAGUAGAUACGGGAAAGUUUUUCGGUAAUGGAUAGGGCUAUAUCGUAUCAGCUAGUUGGUAAGGUAAUGGCUUACCAAGGCUAUGACGCGUAACUGGUCUGAGAGGAUGAUCAGUCACACUGGAACUGAGACACGGUCCAGACUCCUACGGGAGACAGCAGUAGGGAAUAUUGCUCAAUGGGGGAAACCCUGAAGCAGCAACGCCGCGUGGAGGAUGACACUUUUCGGAGCGUAAACUCCUUUUCUUGGGAAAGAAUUAUGACGGUACCCAAGGAAUAAGCACCGGCUAACUCCGUG